UAAAAUGAUUUGAUUUUUGGUCCAUCUUUCUUAUAUAUAAUUUAAGUUAUUUCAUUUUCUUUAUUUAUUAUUUCGUAGAAUAAAAUUUCACAUGCGCUUCUUUUAGUUGGGUUUUUAGCCCAUUAAUUUAGAUUGGCCUGGAAUUUGAUUUAGAUUGGCCUGGAGUACAAUAGUUACUCCAAGUGUACCGUAUACUAAUUGCAAAUUUUCACGCUCCUAAAGCAAAAGCCCCAAUAUUUUAUUCUCUCUCUCUCUCUCUCUCUCUCUCCCACUGUUUGCUGGUUCAGGUGCUCUCUUCUCCUUCCAUGGGUUUGGGUACUUGCGGUCUGCUAUUGGAAUUCUGGAGGUGGAGGAAACUACUUAUAAGUUUCAGAAGAAGCUAUUCAAUUGGUAGAUUAAGAGUGUUACUUGCAGCAAGAUUCUCAAGGUAUAUUCACAUCCUUUAUUAUUUCAAUAUUGAGACAUUCUAUGAUUUGCUGUUAUUUGAGAUAUGCUACUAAUUAAUAGUUGAUAGAUUUAUUUUGCAUUGUGUUUAUAAAUUAGCAUUUAACAUUAUGUAGGAAAUUAGGAAUAAAAUGAAUUCAUUUACUCAGUGUAAAUGAUAAAAAGCAGGUUAUAUGAGUGCUAGCUUUAUUUUUCCUCGGCGAUUGCAAAUAUUUGAGCGGGUAUGAAUUCCAUUAAUUUAUGAAAAUUUUGUAGUUUGUCUAAUCCUUUUUCGUGUAUGUGAUGUUGGCUUUCCUGUGUGUGUGAACCCCAUAUUUUUGAACUUUCGUCUUGGUUGUGACCCUUUAGUUAUUGGACUUUGAUAGGCGGUCGCACACCUAGCAAAAAUAACCUAACUAACCACUACUAUGUAGACAGGCAAGUAAGGGUCGAAUCCCAAGAAACUAAAGUUCAACUAAUUAAUUAGACUCAAAUUCUUACUUGGCAAUAAUCAACAAUGAUCGAAUAACUAAAGAACUAAUGUAUGGAAAAUCGAAAAUAAACUAAGGAAUAUGAUAAUCAAAUAAUUAAAACAUCCAAGAUCUAGUAUCACCACAAUUACGCUUGAUGCAAUUAUAUUUCUACCCCUGACAUACGAUUCCAAUUGAAAGGGAAAAAGUAAACCCUAAUUAAUACCAAGGACCUUUCUCGAGUAUCAAUGACUUCCCUAACAUACAAUCAAGCCUAUUCUCAUGGUAUCAUGCACAUUAGAGACAUUAAACACAUUACUCUAACUUCCUAAUUAUCAACCCAACUAUUCUCAUGUUGAAAAUCAAACCCUAAAUUAAUCUACUCAAAUCCGUUUAAACCCAACUCUCGCUGUGUUAGAAACAAUGGUAGUUAGAUUGUGCUAGGUGUGCAAACCGCCUAUCAAAUUUUGGCGCCGUUGCCGGGGACUAACUGAUAACUUGCUAUUUUAUGCGGUUUUAGGGCGUAUUUG
This is a long non-coding RNA of Chenopodium quinoa (quinoa), 1423 nucleotides long. RefSeq lists it as uncharacterized. The record is from RefSeq and is a predicted model, not a curated record. The transcript is spliced from 3 exons. Lineage: Eukaryota; Viridiplantae; Streptophyta; Magnoliopsida; Caryophyllales; Amaranthaceae.